GAUGAACGCUGGCGGCGUGCUUAACACAUGCAAGUCGAACGGUGAAGGCGGAGCUUGCUCUGCUGGAUCAGUGGCGAACGGGUGAGUAACACGUGAGCAAUCUGCCCCUGACUCUGGGAUAAGCGCUGGAAACGGCGUCUAAUACUGGAUACGAGCUGCGAAGGAAUCUUCAGCAGCUGGAAAGAAUUUCGGUCAGGGAUGAGCUCGCGGCCUAUCAGCUUGUUGGUGAGGUAAUGGCUCACCAAGGCGUCGACGGGUAGCCGGCCUGAGAGGGUGACCGGCCACACUGGGACUGAGACACGGCCCAGACUCCUACGGGAGGCAGCAGUGGGGAAUAUUGCACAAUGGGCGAAAGCCUGAUGCAGCAACGCCGCGUGAGGGACGACGGCCUUCGGGUUGUAAACCUCUUUUAGCAGGGAAGAAGCGAAAGUGACGGUACCUGCAGAAAAAGCGCCGGCUAACUACGUG
Molecule: ribosomal RNA, 468 nt
Filed under: uncultured bacterium
Lineage: Bacteria
Description: partial 16S ribosomal RNA
Rfam family: Bacterial small subunit ribosomal RNA
Source: RNAcentral